RNAcentral lists this non-coding RNA (31 nucleotides) under Mus musculus (house mouse). The record is from RNAcentral. Lineage: Eukaryota; Metazoa; Chordata; Mammalia; Rodentia; Muridae.
UNGCCAAGGAUGAAUUGAUUAGCUUAUCUAC